RNAcentral lists this ribosomal RNA (433 nucleotides) under uncultured bacterium. RNAcentral describes it as "partial 16S ribosomal RNA". It matches the Rfam family "Bacterial small subunit ribosomal RNA", at positions 29 to 507 of the family's 1533-position model. The record is from RNAcentral.
AACGAACGCUGGCGGCAUGCCUAACACAUGCAAGUCGAACGAGACCUUCGGGUCUAGUGGCGCAUGGGUGCGUAACGCGUGGGAACCUGCCCUUAGGUUCGGAAUAACUCCCCGAAAGGGGUGCUAAUACCGGAUAAUGUCUUCGGACCAAAGAUUUAUCGCCUUUGGAUGGGCCCGCGUUGGAUUAGCUAGGUGGUAGGGUAAAAGCCUACCAAGGCGACGAUCCAUAGCUGGUCUGAGAGGAUGAUCCGCCACACUGGGGCUAGGACAUGGCCCAGACUACUGCGCAAGGCAGCAGUGGGUGAUAUUGGACUAUCGGCUAAAUCAUGAUCCAGCACUGCCGCGUGAGUGAUGAAGGCCUUAGGGUUGUGAAGCUCUUUUACCCGGGAUGAUAAUGACGGUACCGGAAGAAUAAGCUCCGGCUAACUCCGUG